This 274-nucleotide ribosomal RNA is filed under the name uncultured bacterium. Its description in RNAcentral is "partial 16S ribosomal RNA". It matches the Rfam family "Bacterial small subunit ribosomal RNA", at positions 333 to 603 of the family's 1533-position model. The record is from RNAcentral.
AUACGCCUACGGGGGGCAGCAGUGAGGAAUAUUGGUCAAUGGGCGAGAGCCUGAACCAGCCAAGUCGCGUGAAGGAUGACGGCCCUAUGGGUUGUAAACUUCUUUUGUCAGGGAGCAAUUGAGUCCACGUGUGGGCUUAGCGAGAGUACCUGAAGAAAAAGCAUCGGCUAACUCCGUGCCAGCAGCCGCGGUAAUACGGAGGAUGCGAGCGUUAUCCGGAUUUAUUGGGUUUAAAGGGUGCGUAGGCGGAAUAUCCAGUCAGCGGUAAAAAUUG